Molecule: ribosomal RNA, 478 nt
Filed under: uncultured bacterium
Lineage: Bacteria
Description: partial 16S ribosomal RNA
Rfam family: Bacterial small subunit ribosomal RNA
Source: RNAcentral
GACGAACGCUGGCGGCGUGCUUAACACAUGCAAGUCGAACGGGAUUUCGUAGACAGCAGCUUCGGUGGAAGAUUACUAAUGAGAGUGGCGAACGGGUGAGUAACGCGUGAGCAACCUGCCUAUGACAGUGGGAUAGCCUCGGGAAACCGGGAUUAAUACCGCAUAAAAUCGUAGAAACACAUGUUUCAACGGUCAAAGAUUUAUCGGUCGUAGAUGGGCUCGCGUCUGAUUAGCUAGUUGGUGAGAUAACAGCCCACCAAGGCGACGAUCAGUAGCCGGUCUGAGAGGAUGAACGGCCACAUUGGAACUGAGACACGGUCCAAACUCCUACGGGAGGCAGCAGUGGGGAAUAUUGCACAAUGGGGGAAACCCUGAUGCAGCGACGCCGCGUGAACGAAGAAGGUAUUCGUAUCGUAAAGUUCUGUCCUAUGGGAAGAUAAUGACAGUACCAUAGAAGAAAGCUCCGGCUAAAUACGUG